GUCUACGGCCAUGCCACCCUGAACGCGCCUGAUCUCUCUUGGAAGAUAAGCAGGGUUGGGCCUGGUUAGUACUUGGAUGGGAGACCACCUAGGAAUACCAGGUGCUGUAGGUG
RNAcentral lists this ribosomal RNA (113 nucleotides) under Pteropus alecto (black flying fox). Lineage: Eukaryota; Metazoa; Chordata; Mammalia; Chiroptera; Pteropodidae. The record is from RNAcentral.